CAGUAGCCCGGUAAUACGGAGGGUGCAAGCGUUAAUCGGAAUUACUGGGCGUAAAGCGUGCGUAGGCGGUUCGUUAAGUCUGUUGUGAAAGCCCCGGGCUCAACCUGGGAAUGGCAAUGGAUACUGGCGAGCUAGAGUGUGUCAGAGGAUGGUGGAAUUCCCGGUGUAGCGGUGAAAUGCGUAGAGAUCGGGAGGAACAUCAGUGGCGAAGGCGGCGACCUGGUCCUUGACUGACGCUGAGGCGCGAAAGCGUGGGGAGCAAACAGGAUUAGAUACCCCAGUAGUCCCUGUCUUUUAUACA
RNAcentral lists this ribosomal RNA (301 nucleotides) under uncultured bacterium. RNAcentral's name for it is "partial 16S ribosomal RNA". It matches the Rfam family "Bacterial small subunit ribosomal RNA", at positions 509 to 810 of the family's 1533-position model. The record is from RNAcentral.